Molecule: long non-coding RNA, 777 nt
Filed under: Anas platyrhynchos platyrhynchos (common mallard)
Lineage: Eukaryota; Metazoa; Chordata; Aves; Anseriformes; Anatidae
Description: lncRNA (ENSAPLG00000030558.1)
Source: RNAcentral
GCCAAGCAGAAAAGAUAAUGAAUAGUGAAAGAUAGUGCUGAUUGUCACUCAAAUAGUUUUCAAUAAUAAGAUUCAGCCUGUGUGUUCCUAGCAACAGAUGCUCUCAAAGACCCUGUCACAAAUGACUUUUAAGCACAAUAUUUGUUGCAAAGAACCACAACAUUAACCAUCUCUUCACGGAUUCAGAUGUCCAACAUAAUGCUUAUGAUCUGCAGAAUACUGUUUCAGAUUCCAGGUUUUAUUUCUUUAAAUUUAUUUUAUUUUUUUUCCAGUAAAAAUUAUAUGAAAAUAAACAGGACGUAACAUAAGAAAAGGUUUGCUGUUAUGGUGGAAUAUGAGCACUAAUGUUUGUCCCAUUAUGCUGGAGAACAAAGGCUGUGCAAAACAUUAUGGCCAGUUACUCUAGCAGGUCAGCAGUUGGAAGGAGGGAGAGAAGGAGCAAGCAGAAUGUGCAUGCCGCAGCCUGGCUUCAGUCAUUAAACAAUUUAAAAAUUACUAUUGCUUGCCUGACUAUUCACUUAAAGAUAAAGUCCAUCAAAUGGGAUAAGGACUCACUUAUUUACCAGGUAUUUAUACACAUCAUUUGGUCAAAAUAGAUUGAUUAAGAAAUCUAUUAGAGAUGCCAUUUACACACAUGCAUAUGCCAUAUUUAAUUCCCAGUCAAUGGGCUGUUUUCAUUGCUUCCUCUGCAAGAUUGCUCUGCAUUCUAGUAAACUAAUUUUCAGAGUGGUUUCUUAAAAUUUAGUCUUCUCUAUUCUGAUUUUACCUCAUUAUUUG